RNAcentral lists this ribosomal RNA (264 nucleotides) under uncultured archaeon. Its description in RNAcentral is "partial 16S ribosomal RNA". It matches the Rfam family "Archaeal small subunit ribosomal RNA", at positions 748 to 1008 of the family's 1478-position model. The record is from RNAcentral.
CAGCCGUAAACAAUGUGCGUUAGGUGUGUCGGUAACCACGUGUUACUGAUGCGCCGAAGAGAAAUCGUGAAACGCACCACCUGGGAAGUACGGUCGCAAGGCUGAAACUUAAAGGAAUUGGCGGGGGGAGCACCACAACAGGUGGAGCCUGCGGGUUUAAUUUGGAUUCAACGCCGGACAUCUCACCGGAUAAGACAGCUGAAUGAUUGUCAAUCUGAAGGUUUUACAUGACUAGCUGAGAGGAGGUGCAUGGCGUCAGUGACU